This 405-nucleotide long non-coding RNA is filed under the name Betta splendens (Siamese fighting fish). RNAcentral describes it as "lncRNA (ENSBSLG00000024779.1)". The record is from RNAcentral. Lineage: Eukaryota; Metazoa; Chordata; Actinopteri; Anabantiformes; Osphronemidae.
AGCGUGUCUCAAAGGAGCAGUGAUCUUUGUCUGUCUCUCUGUUCACCUUAUGUUACUUUUAAUUGCUUUACCUUUUUAUACCUUUAAUGGACUUGGAUAUGAUUUUAAAGGUUAGUUGAGAGAUAGUUCUGGCGUUGUCUAGGCUCAGUGAUCUCCAGGCCUCCAUGACUCCAGGCAGGUGUAAAUAAAAUAGUGAACUCCUCCCGCUGCCAUGAUGGAAAAUGAAACGGCCUCUCCAGCUAGAAAAACAAGUGGUGUGUGGGCUUCGUGAAGUGGCGCAGCACUGGGUCACUGGAGAGCCAAAGUGAGUGUCACCAGGUGCCAGAAGAAAGAAGAAUGUGUACCAAAAGACCUUAACAAGACUAUGGUAGGACUUCAGGGGUGAAUGUAAAACUACUCUUCCUU